CAAAGCCCCAGAGAUCCUGCUGGGGGUGCCUUCUCGUUGGGCAGGAAGAGAGGGACUGGGACCCGCGGGCAUCCGGUGAGGCCCAUGUUGCCACACCUAGAACCAUGCUUGAGGACAAGGACUGGACGGCCCACAGGUUAUUGGAGCCUGAGUUAAGGUGGAGCCAGGUGCAGUGGCUCACGUCUGUAACCCCAGAGCUCAGGAGGCUGAGGCA
This 214-nucleotide long non-coding RNA is filed under the name Marmota monax (woodchuck). Lineage: Eukaryota; Metazoa; Chordata; Mammalia; Rodentia; Sciuridae. The record is from RNAcentral.